GGUCAUGAGACCCUUCUGGUGACCAACUCCUGACUCCAUCAUGAGAUGGUCACCAGAUGUUCUAAUCUACUCAUAAUAACUCCAUCGUGUUUGGGCUCAAUAGAUUUGCCCCGACGAGCACCAUCGAUCUAGAUGAAGUCCAGGUUCUCAUGAUGGAGUCAGUAAUGAAUCUAGAUGAAGUCCAGGUUUUCAUGAUGGAGUCAGGAGUUGGUCACCAGAACUCCUAAUCUACUCAUCAUAACUCCAUCGUGUUUGGGCUCAAUAGAUUUUCCUUGACGAGCACUAUCGAUCUAGAUGCGGUUGAUAGAUUAUUAAUAUUAUUUUAUUUUACAUACAUACUUACAAAUAAAGCUUCAUUUGCUUCCCACAAGGAUCAAGUAAACCUUAUAAAUCAACUUCGUUCUAAAUAAAAACCGGCCAAGUGCGAGUCGGACUCGCACACGAAGGGUUCCGUACCAUUAUCUAUAAAAACGGUCACCCAUCCAAGUACUGACCCCGCCCGAGCCCGACGUUGCUUAACUUCUAUCAAAAAUCACGUUUACAACAGUAUGGGAGCCCCACUUAAAUCUUUAUUUUAUUCUGUUUUAGUAUUUGUUGUUAUAGCGGCAACAGAAAUACAUCAUCUGUGAAAAUUUCAACUGUCUAGCUAUCUCGAUUCGUGAGAUACAGCCUGGUGAUUGACGGACGGACGGACGGACGGACAGCGGAGUCUUAGUAAUAGGGUCCCGUUUUACCCUUUGGGUACGGAACCCUAAAAACGGAGAUACUUCUGUUUUAGACAUAAAAUCGAACUUCAGAGAGUUCAGUAGUUGUUACUUGCAGGUACUCUCGAAUUUAUUGUCAUUAUACAGGGUGGCCAUAAAAUAAGUGCUUUUCCGCUGCUGGCAAGAAAAUGGUUGCUGGAAAAAAAAUUACCCUCCCAUAGAAAAUGGACUAGACAAAAUGUAUGAAAUAGCCAAAUUUUUUUUUCGCGAUUUCGGGGUUGGUCCCAUCGCGGUUCGCGGUUGCUUAGUUCAGUAUAAUCCCUAAACCUCCCUGGCAACGGGAAUGCACUUAUUUUUGGCCACCCUGUAUAUAUUAUUAUUUAAUAUAACCUUAUCUUUAAAACAUUUAAUUAUUCAACUUCCUUGGUGAACUGACUUGAAUAAGUUACUUGACUUCGUGGAUGAACUUGUCACAAUAAUUCCAUGACAUACAGAGGUAAACAAUCAUUAUUUUUUACUCGUCGUUGGUUAUAUAUUAUCUCAUCACAUAUACUCUAUUGACUACUACCAUGCUUAUAAAAUAAAAUACAGAGUGCCAAUAUAACGUUAAAAUAAAUUUACUUGCAAAUUAAAUUGAAAAGUAUCAAAAUUAUUCUUGUCUGCGUUGAAACGCGCUUAGCUUUGCCGGCGCUCGCGUACCGAGCGCUAACGCCAUCUAUCGAGUGUUAUUUCGCAAAAUCGGUGAACGCUCUAAGGAAUAAGGGCUCUUAAAUAAU
This is a long non-coding RNA of Cydia splendana, 1480 nucleotides long. RefSeq lists it as uncharacterized. The record is from RefSeq and is a predicted model, not a curated record. NCBI's taxonomy places the organism in Eukaryota, Metazoa, Arthropoda, Insecta, Lepidoptera, Tortricidae. The transcript has 2 exons.